GUGCACCAGGGAUAAGCCUUUUGGAUCAACUCUAGACCCUCACCAUAGUGUUCUUUUAGAGAAGACUUAUGACUUCUGGAAUUAAAUAAAUGUUUCACAGGAAAAUAUCAGCACUACUUGUCUGUCUUGACUGCGGAACUCAAAAUGGCUUUUAGAGAAAGGAGGGAUGAAAUGGGGACCUGGUUGCAUUUAUUUAAAAGUUAUAUCCACCCGUGCAAUAGGACACAUUUUGCAAGUAGCCUGUUUGACUUGAAGACAAGUGCAAAUGGAAAGGAAGGCAGAUGCCUUACAUAGUGUACAAUCUUGCCAUGUUCCUUUGCCAAUUAAUCAUUUCAAGGUAAGUACAUUUUCUAUUAUUAAAUCUGUAUUUUAUCUGGAAUUUCUCCUCAUAGCUUAUCACAUCACUUUACUAAAGUGAUUCUGCCUUGUUCCACAUUAUAGUUCCUGAUGUGCAGUGUAUAGGAUAACUUAUACUUAAUUUAAAUUAAUUCCUCUAUCAAACCUGUAAGGCACUUUAUCCCCGUUCUGUCAAUGCUUUGCUGACUUCUAUACAUUGUCAGAAGGCCUCAAAGAAUGAAAAUAUGUCUAAUUAUGCUAUUUUAUUUUUGAAUUUCUUCAUGAUUCCUUGCCUUUCUGAUGAGAGGGUGGAGCACCAUCCCUGGAGCAAUGGAAGGACUGUGAUCGGUGAAAGGAUGGUGACAAGGGGCAGCUGCUGUAGAGGGGAUGAAGUAAGCUGCUGUUUGGACCUUAAAGGGGAUGGAAAGAGCCUUCUAUGGACCAGAGAGGUCUAAAUUUGCUGUAGUUCAAAUAGGUCUUAAUUGCAAUCAACCCUGCAGCUGAUGCCAUGCCUCCAAGGACACAGCCGAUAUUGAAGUGACUGAUGUAGAGAUUUCUGUGUGGGGAAGACAUGGAUUAACCAAGGCUGCUGAAGCUGAAUUUGUGGUGGUGCACCGGAACUCGUUGGUACCCUUUCCAUACAUCAGCCCCCUGGGUGCUGUCGGCAUCGGCAUCUAGACCUGAGUUGAAUUUUAGCAUGUGGUUGGCAGGGUUCUGAUUUCAUACACUCACUGUAUAGGCUUGUGAUCUCGAAGGCCCAGAUCUGUCUGCUCUGCUCUGCCGUCUUCAACGGAACACUCUCUAAAACAGAAUCUUUUGGCUGCGUAGAAAUUGAUAGAAAAUGCAUCUCUAUUUAUUCAGAACACACCCUUGCGCUGAAGGGGAGACAAAGGCAAGUUUGGGUAGUUAAAUGUCUUAUCUGGGGUUCUGAAAUCAUUAUUUGCUAGUCACCAAAGAAUGCAAUUCCACCAUUCACCUCGGUAAAAGAAUGGUUUUCUGGUAUAUCCUAAAGCUAUUGAUAAUCUGUGUCUAAAUAUCAUAUGAAAAGCAAUAGACUAUCCAAAAUACAGCUUCUGAAACUUGCUAGUGCUCUUUGUAUUGUCACUGCAGCGUGGCGCUUUCUUAAGGACCAAAAUAACUGCAUCUAGUAUUUAUUCUUUUUGGUGCCAUCAGCGGUGAUGCCUUCCCAUUUACAAUUCUUAUCUCAAAGCCUGAUAUUUGGGAAGCUGAGCUGUUUCAUAGCUCUUACUUUGAAAGAACUGCAGGCAGUCAACCACUUUGUCAGGUUGAAAGCAGAUAAAAGGAACUACCUUUUCCACAGCAUGUUGUUAAGUUGCAAAAUUUAUUGCCAUAAGAGACUGUGAAGACUGAAAGUGUAAAUGGGUUCCAAAAAUGAGUUAGCAGAAUCUGUUGGUUGCUACUAAACAUGAUGAUCUACAAGCACAUGCCAGCACAGAGAGUUCCUAAACUUGUCAUCAGAGCUGAGGAAGAUGCUGUGGAAGGCUUGGUUUCUUAGGGUGCUGUGUAGGAGUCUUCCAGACACUCCAUCAACAGAUCUUAUAUAGUGGGUUUUACUUGAGUGCGGCAAGAACUGAGUAAAACAGAGUAGCAUGACACAAGCAGUAAAACCCCAUUCCUAAGGUCGUCCUAUGGAAAUGAAACUAUUUUGCUUCUACCAAAGCAGCUUUGCAAGCAUUUGCUUCCUCAUGAGUAAUGGCAAUAAUAGAUGAGGAGAACACAUUGUCAGGGGAGUUGUUUCCUGCCUGAUGCAAUGGAUAUUUGAGUGCAGCCAUAGCAUGAGGUAAAGAUCAAGGGAUAAAUAUUUCUCACCAUGGCACAUUUUUGCAAAUUAAAUCAAUAUCUUGCUUGGUUAAUAGCAAUCGUAUUAAUCAUUGUUCAGCUGGAAAGGGGCAGCGUUGCACAAUUUUCAGGAAGCCUGCUGCUGUUGUAAACCAUUCUCUGCACGUUGACUGCUUUGAAACUUUAAAUUCUGCCCAGACAAGACUUCCAGGUGGAAAAGGAGAAGAAUACUUAAACUUUUGGUAGCCUUUAGAGGAAGGAAAUGGCUAAAUCGUAGCCCACCACUAGAAAGCACAAGAGGCUGAUUGCUGGGAAGCUGCCCUGUUGCUGUCAUCCCUCAGGCAGUGAGAAACGGUUGUUUGGACUAAAAGAAGAUAAUUCUGGUCUCUUGUAAAGGAUGAAGUGAACUCAACAAUUUUUAAUCACAUGGUGAAUAGCAGUAUCAUAUUAGCUACUAAAUUCACCAAGAAUUUAGGGAAUUUAAUCCAUUAAUCUUCAGUCUCUGCAUAGACAAGAAGUCAUGGAGAUAAUGAGUCACCUGAGGCAAUAAGAUUCAGUAGAAAUCAAGCAGCUAAUUUCUAUAUGUGCCUGUGAAUAUUUCUUUCAGGAAUCCUAUCUCUUUCUCUUGAGAGAAGUAUUAUUAGCACCUUCUGCACUCCUUUCAUGCCAGAAUGCUUGAGGAACCACAUCUAAGCCUGGGACUCUGUGCUCUUGCAGUCAUUUGUGUCUGGUUUUUAAUGUUGAGUAAUUCAUGAAGAGUGUUCGCUAAUCUAAAGGUGUUAAACAAGCAUUCUGAAUUUGUCUGUUUUUUUUAAUAUUUAAAAUCUUCAGCUGUUUCUGUUGUCAUUUGUAAACUGUGGACUUGGAACACAUUUCAUUUUUAAGUAAUCCUUUGUUCAGAGGACAUUUUACCCCACAUAUUUUACUGGUUCCGUUUCCAGGUUGUUGUUGGGUAAUUUUCUGGAGGGUUUCUUCGUCUACUUCCAGUAAUGCUCUUCCCAGCAGAAGAAAUACGUAUUUAUUCUCAUUUUUUCAGUCUAGAUUUCAAGUAAUUGCACCAAAUACAGCUUCUUUUUCUCUUAUCACGUUUGGGUUUUGAAUUUCCAGGUUCUACACAAUAGCUUAGAAUCAAAUCACUAAAAGAGGGGGUAUCAGAACGUGCAUGUGUGUGCGUGGUGGGGUGAUGUGGUGGAAUUCAGGUAUAUCAGCAGGGAAAAAUCAAUGUUUAUCAUGAUCUUUUCUCAGAGUGAAAUGGACUGAGAAAGGAUGUUAUGUAGCAUGAAAUCAUGUAGAAUGACCUUGAAAGAAUUUAGAAGGCAAUCAUGAGCGUUCUGUCUGAGCCUGCAGAUUUAUUAUAGCACAAAGAUGCUGUGAGUUCACCUAUUAUACUACUAAGCAAACAGAGGAUUUAUAAUGGACAUCUGUGUGAUUAAAAGCUCAAUCCCCAGAGAGUGGUGAACACCUCAUGAUUUACAAAUAGAAAAAACAUGACUGAGAUGUUAAAAGACCUUCCCCAUGCUUGGAAUUAAUUUCAUAUUAGGGGAGUUUAGAAUGUGGCCUCUUUUUCCAUUGUGUAAGGAAUGAUUCAAUCCUUGAUAAAUUUAUUAUAUGUUUUUAUUUUUACUUUCUGAUUCUGAGUAUAUGUACCUGAUUAUUUUGGAAGCUUUGCAUGCAAAAGAGACUUAGAAAGGAGUCCUGCCAUUUCACAGAAGCUAUGGGAUUGUUAUAAAUUUGUUCUCUCCAGCCACCACAGGACAAAUGUUUCUCACUCGGUUAUAUUCAUUCUAGUCACAAUUCCUACAUCUCCUUAAAUUCCAUCCUAUAACUCUGCCCAAGAAAGAUAAUAUUUCUUGAAGACUCAAUGGGAAAUAAUGUGUAUCAUUGCUAAAUAAACUCAGGGUGAGCACGUAGGAUGCUUACAUGUGGAUGAAAUUAAUUCUGAAAAAUAUUCUUAUCAUGAGCUGGCCAUGUUCACACUGAUAGUACAGGGCAGUGUGUCAAAAUUCAUUCCAUUCUGCAGAUUCCUUGGAAAACUGCAAUUAACAGAUACUAGCUGAUGGUUUUCAAAUGUCUCAAUGUGAUACAUAGGAGAUUCUUCUGUAUUUCAAGGAACCAGAAAAUCUGUUCUUGCUCUUUUCACUUGUUAAAAAAUAAUUUGCUCUAGAAGCACUUUGGCUUCUGCAAGUUAAUUUCCCUGUCACUUAAUUUUCAUUAUAUUUUUAUUAAUCAGUGUCAGUCUGAUUUUCAGCUGCCAUCACGCUCUCAUCUGCCUACCUGACCUAUCCAGCAAGCCUUUACUUAAUUUUUAUGUGAUUCUUAAUGUCCUCUGCUUAUCAAAAAAUCAGCUGCUAAAUGGACAAGUAAGUGGGAAGCUGAUACGUUGAUUUCCAAUAUUUUCAUAGUAAUUAACCCACAGUUGUCUGAAGGAAUGCUAAUAAUGUGAUGUAGCAUUUUGGUCUGUAUUUUCAUAACCAAAAACUGCCUCAAAAUGCAAUUCUUUUGUUCACCACUGACUCAGAUACCACAGUAUGAGUUGAAACAGCUUUGAAGUAGAGAGGCAUUUUUUUGCAACACAAACAUAUGAGAAGUAUUUCAUGUAUUUGGAAGAUCUGCUAAAUGCAAAGACCUCUUUCAAGGUAUGUACUUAUAACUGAAGCAUUAUAAACAACAGGCUGCAAAGGUAAAUCGUGACUGCAUAUAGAUUCUCCAUCCCUGGAGGUGUUCAGGGCCAUGUUGGAUGAGGUUUUGAGCAACCUGAUCCAGUGGGAGGUGUCGCUGCCCAUGGCAGGGGUGGGACUGGAUAGGCUUUAAGGUCCCUUCCAACCCAAACCUCUCCAUGAUUCUGUUAUUCUUAUCUUUAUCAGCUGUAAUGCUCUUACACGUGUUUUAGGGAAAGUACGUUGCUUUGUGUUGA
Long non-coding RNA from Cuculus canorus (common cuckoo), 5050 nucleotides. RefSeq lists it as uncharacterized. Lineage: Eukaryota; Metazoa; Chordata; Aves; Cuculiformes; Cuculidae. The transcript has 4 exons. The record is from RefSeq and is a predicted model, not a curated record.